Molecule: ribosomal RNA, 253 nt
Filed under: uncultured bacterium
Lineage: Bacteria
Description: partial 16S ribosomal RNA
Rfam family: Bacterial small subunit ribosomal RNA
Source: RNAcentral
UACGUAGGUGGCAAGCGUUGUCCGGAUUUACUGGGCGUAAAGAGCGCGCAGGCGGUCGUUCAAGUCGCGUGUGAAAGCCCCCGGCUCAACUGGGGAGGGUCACGCGAUACUGAUCGACUCGAAGGCAGGAGAGGGUAGUGGAAUUCCCGGUGUAGUGGUGAAAUGCGUAGAUAUCGGGAGGAACACCGGUGGCGAAGGCGGCUUCCUGGACCGACACUGACGCUGAGGCGCGAAAGCUAGGGGAGCAAACGGG